AUUGAACGCUGGCGGCAGGCCUAACACAUGCAAGUCGAGCGGAUGAAGGGAGCUUUCUCCUGGAUUCAGCGGCGGACGGGUGAGUAAUGCCUAGGAAUCUGCCUGGUAGUUGGGGAUAACGUCCGGAAACGGGCGCUAAUACCGCAUACGUCCUUAGGGAGAAAGUGGGGGAUCUUCGGACCUCACGCUAUCAGAUGAGCCUAGGUCGGAUUAGCUAGUUGGUGGGGUAAAGGCCUACCAAGGCGACGAUCCGUAACUGGUCUGAGAGGAUGAUCAGUCACACUGGAACUGAGACACGGUCCAGACUCCUACGGGAGGCAGCAGUGGGGAAUAUUGGACAAUGGGCGAAAGCCUGAUCCAGCCAUGCCGCGUGUGUGAAGAAGGUCUUCGGAUUGUAAAACACUUUAAGUUGGGAGGAAGGGAAGUAAGUUAAUACCUUGCUGUUUUGACGUUACCAAAAGAAUAAGCACCGGCUAACUUCGUG
This 484-nucleotide ribosomal RNA is filed under the name uncultured bacterium. Its description in RNAcentral is "partial 16S ribosomal RNA". It matches the Rfam family "Bacterial small subunit ribosomal RNA", at positions 30 to 507 of the family's 1533-position model. The record is from RNAcentral.